UACGUAGGGUCCGAGCGUUGUCCGGAAUUAUUGGGCGUAAAGGGCUCGUAGGCGGUCCGUCACGUCGGGAGUGAAAACUCAGGGCUCAACCCUGAGCGUGCUUCCGAUACGGGCGGACUAGAGGUAUGCAGGGGAGAACGGAAUUCCUGGUGUAGCGGUGGAAUGCGCAGAUAUCAGGAGGAACACCAGUGGCGAAGGCGGCUAUCUGGACGGUUUCUGACGCUAAGACGCGAAAGCGUGGGGAGCAAACAGG
This 253-nucleotide ribosomal RNA is filed under the name uncultured bacterium. RNAcentral describes it as "partial 16S ribosomal RNA". It matches the Rfam family "Bacterial small subunit ribosomal RNA", at positions 524 to 776 of the family's 1533-position model. The record is from RNAcentral.